Molecule: ribosomal RNA, 274 nt
Filed under: uncultured bacterium
Lineage: Bacteria
Description: partial 16S ribosomal RNA
Rfam family: Archaeal small subunit ribosomal RNA
Source: RNAcentral
AAACCAGCACUUCAAGUGGUCAGGAGGAUUAUUGGGCCUAAAGCAUCCGUAGCCUGUUCUAUAAGUUUCCGGAUAAAUCCAUUAGCUCAACUAAUGGGCCGCCGAAAAUACUGUAGAACUAGGGAGUGGGAGAGGUAGACGGUAUUCGGUAGGAAGGGGUAAAAUCCUUUGAUCUAUUGAGGACCACCUGUGGCGAAGGCGGUCUACCAGAACACGUUCGACGGUGAGGGAUGAAAGCUGGGGGAGCAAACCGGAUUAGAAACCCGGGUAGUCC